This 1990-nucleotide long non-coding RNA is filed under the name Sus scrofa (pig). Its description in RNAcentral is "lncRNA (ENSSSCG00000055833.1)". The record is from RNAcentral. Lineage: Eukaryota; Metazoa; Chordata; Mammalia; Artiodactyla; Suidae.
AGGGCCACACCUGAGGCAUAUGGAGGUUCUCAGGCUAGGGGUUGAAUUGGAGCUACAGCUGCCGGCCUACACCACAGCCACAGCAACACAGGAUCCUAACCAACCGUCUGUGACCUACACCACAGCUCAUGACAACGCUGGCUCCUUAACCCACUGAGCGAGACCAGGGAUCGAACCUUUGUCCUCAUGGAUUCUAGUCGGGAAUCUAGUACCACUGAUCCACGACGGGAACUCCCAACAUUUGCGGUUGCUUAUAUUCCCUGGGAUUCCUGCAAAAUACGAAAAUCUCAACUGAAAGUUGUUUUUGUAGAAAAAUUCUUUUUUAAAAAAAUUUGGCCAUGUCCACGGCAUGCAGAAGCUCUGGACCAGGGAUCAAAUCUGUGCCACUGCAGUCACAAUGCCAGAUCCUCAACCCACCUAGCCACCAGGGAACUUCUGUUUUCAUAGGAAAAUUCUAAACACCAAAUUUUAUAGGUAAUAAAGGUAACAUAAGGAGAAGUUUUAAUUAAGCAUAUGUUAACUCUGAUCUUGCAAUUUCCUUUGGUUAUCUUCUUUUCUUCAGGAAAAAAAAAAAAGUCUCCUAAUGCCUGCAAAUCUAAGAGGCAAUGUGAGCUAGUGGCAGCAGAGGUAGGAACCCACACCCAUGACCUCUCAAAGCAAGGCAUCCUCUGAGAACCCUAGUCCUCACAAGGGAAGAGAGGAACCUCCCCCCAGGGGCACGCCCACCUACACAGACGCUGCCAGACGGCCGGGACGAGGGGAGCUCAGGGGGUCUACCCCUCCCCCCCAAGCCUGCCCCACCGUUCCUGAAAUAAGCUGCUGUGGAAGGGGCUGCCCCUCCCUCUUUCAGCGCCUGCCUCCCCUCCCAUCCACCCUCCCGGCAACUCUAUAAAUCAUCCAGCGUCAGCACAAACCCCCCCUUGCAAGGUUUCCCACAAAGAAUUACUGUUAGGUAAAACAAAUGGGGAAGGGUGGUGCUUCUUCGAGGCUGACCGGGGCACGAGGGGAAGGAAACGGAGAAGGUGAGCUAAGGGCCUCGAGCUGAUAUGCAUACCGGAUCUUUGUUUUCAGUGACAGAGCUCUAGGGCAGCCUCAUUUUCGUUUCCAUUUGAGGCUGGGGGUGGGGAAGGCGGAGAGCUUUGGUGCUGGGAAUAUACAUACUGAUGAAGAUGAGGUCAAAACCGGAAGCAGCUGGUUGACCUGGAAGAAAAACUUUCUGGUCGUAGAGUCACAACUUCUCUUCUUUUUAGCGACCCAAAAGAUGCCUGCCAGGCCAGACAAAGAAUCUGAAUCUGUCCUUUUUCACAGGAUAUUCCAUGUAUAAAUAAUAUCAUAUAAUUUGUCUCUCACUUACUUCACUUGGUAUGAUAAUCUUUAGGUCCAUCCAUGUUGCUGCCAAUGGCAUUAUUUCAUUCUUGUUUAAGGCUGAGUAAUAUUCCAUUGUAUAUAUGUACCACAUCUCCUUUAUCCACUCUUCUGUUGAUGGACAUUUAGGUUGCCUCCAUGUCUUGGCUAUUGUAACUAGUGCUGCAAUGAACAUUGGAGUGCAUAUAUCUUUUCAAAUUAUGGUUUUUUUCAGGUAGAUGUCCAGGAGUGGCUGGAUCACAGAUCAUAUGGUCAGACAAUAGCUCUCUGGACUUCUCCAGAAUGACCCACAAUGGUGAUUCCUUCCCAGUCAAGACUCUCCCCUUAUUCUGUUCCUUUGGGUUACACAGUCUCCAAACUGUUCUCAUCAUGCUCAAAGUACAAAUGUGCCCCUGGGGAGAGGAACAUACUAGCUUCCUAAUUCUUUCAUGUUGAGAGAAUUCAGGGGCCCUCUGUGACAGAAAGGAGCCCAUCAAGCUGAAAGUGAGGCGGGGGGAUAGGGUGAAAGAGACAGCUGAAGGGAGGUGAGGAGGCCUGCAGGCCAUAUUAGCCUUCGUCACAGUAGGUCCAGCAUUCUGCAGACAGCCUGCUGAGUUCAGGGCGUGGGAGAAGGGGGCCUCCAUCU